CCCGCACAAGCGGUGGAGUAUGUGGUUUAAUUCGAUGCAACGCGAAGAACUUACCUGGUCUUGACAUCCCGGAGACCCUUAGGAAACUAGGGGGUGCUUCCAUCUGGAAGAAUCUGGAGACAGGUGCUGCAUGGCUGUCGUCAGCUCGUGUCGUGAGAUGUUGGGUUAAGUCCCGCAACGAGCGCAACCCUUGCCUUUAGUUGCCAGCAGUUCGGCUGGGCACUCUAAAGGGACUGCCGGUGUUAAACCGGAGGAAGGUGGGGAUGACGUCAAGUCCUCAUGGCCCUUAUGACCAGGGCUACACACGUACUACAAUGGCCGAUACAAAGGGCAGCGACACUGCGAGGUGAAGCCAAUCCCGUAAAAUCGGUCUCAGUCCGGAUUGGAGUCUGCAACUCGACUCCAUGAAGUUGGAAUCGCUAGUAAUCGUGGAUCAGCAUGCCACGGUGAAUACGUUCCCGGGCCUU
Molecule: ribosomal RNA, 467 nt
Filed under: uncultured Desulfobulbus sp.
Lineage: Bacteria; Pseudomonadati; Thermodesulfobacteriota; Desulfobulbia; Desulfobulbales; Desulfobulbaceae
Description: bacterial SSU rRNA
Rfam family: Bacterial small subunit ribosomal RNA
Source: RNAcentral